GGGUGAGUAACACGUGGGCAACCUGCCUGUAAGACUGGGAUAACUUCGGGAAACCGGAGCUAAUACCGGAUAAUCCUUUCCCUCUCAUGAGGGAAAGCUGAAAGACGGUUUCGGCUGUCACUUACAGAUGGGCCCGCGGCGCAUUAGCUAGUUGGUGAGGUAACGGCUCACCAAGGCAACGAUGCGUAGCCGACCUGAGAGGGUGAUCGGCCACACUGGGACUGAGACACGGCCCAGACUCCUACGGGAGGCAGCAGUAGGGAAUCUUCCGCAAUGGACGAAAGUCUGACGGAGCAACGCCGCGUGAACGAUGAAGGCUUUCGGGUCGUAAAGUUCUGUUGUCAGGGAAGAACAAGUACCGGAGUAACUGCCGGUACCUUGACGGUACCUGACCAGAAAGCCACGGCUAACUACGUGCCAGCAGCCGCGGUAAUACGUAGGUGGCAAGCGUUGUCCGGAAUUAUUGGGCGUAAAGCGCGCGCAGGCGGUUCCUUAAGUCUGAUGUGAAAGCCCCCGGCUCAACCGGGGAGGGUCAUUGGAAACUGGGGAACUUGAGUGCAGAAGAGGAGAGCGGAAUUCCACGUGUAGCGGUGAAAUGCGUAGAGAUGUGGAGGAACACCAGUGGCGAAGGCGGCUCUCUGGUCUGUAACUGACGCUGAGGCGCGAAAGCGUGGGGAGCGAACAGGAUUAGAUACCCUGGU
Molecule: ribosomal RNA, 701 nt
Filed under: Mesobacillus sp.
Lineage: Bacteria; Bacillati; Bacillota; Bacilli; Caryophanales; Bacillaceae
Description: bacterial SSU rRNA
Rfam family: Bacterial small subunit ribosomal RNA
Source: RNAcentral